Molecule: ribosomal RNA, 740 nt
Filed under: uncultured bacterium
Lineage: Bacteria
Description: bacterial SSU rRNA
Rfam family: Bacterial small subunit ribosomal RNA
Source: RNAcentral
CCUGCCCCUGUGCGGGGGAUAACAGGAGGAAACUCCUGCUAAUACCGCAUAGCCAUGAGCACCGCAUGGAGCUCAUGCCAAAUAUCCUUUAUGGGAUAGCGCAGGGAUGGACCUAUAGCGCAUUAGCUGGUUGGCGGGGCAACGGCCCACCAAGGCAACGAUGCGUAGCCGGCCUGAGAGGGCGGGCGGCCACAUUGGGACUGAGACACGGCCCAGACUCCUACGGGAGGCAGCAGUAGGGAAUUUUCGGCAAUGGGGGAAACCCUGACCGAGCAACGCCGCGUGAGCGAAGAAGGCCUUCGGGUCGUAAAGCUCUGUUGUAAAGGAAGAACGGCGCAUACAGGAAAUGGUAUGCGAGUGACGGUACUUUACCAGAAAGCCACGGCUAACUACGUGCCAGCAGCCGCGGUAAUACGUAGGUGGCGAGCGUUAUCCGGAAUCAUUGGGCGUAAAGAGGGAGCAGGCGGCCGCAAGGGUCUGUGGUGAAAGCCCGAAGCUAAACUUCGGUAAGCCAUGGAAACCGGGCGGCUAGAGUGCGGAAGAGGAUCGUGGAAUUCCAUGUGUAGCGGUGAAAUGCGUAGAUAUAUGGAGGAACACCAGUGGCGAAGGCGACGGUCUGGGCCGCAACUGACGCUCAUUCCCGAAAGCGUGGGGAGCAAAUAGGAUUAGAUACCCUAGUAGUCCACGCCGUAAACGAUGGUCACUAAGUGUCGGGGGUCAAACCCCGGUGCUGCAGUCCA